Molecule: unclassified non-coding RNA, 704 nt
Filed under: Bombus terrestris (buff-tailed bumblebee)
Lineage: Eukaryota; Metazoa; Arthropoda; Insecta; Hymenoptera; Apidae
Description: misc RNA ENSBTSG00005021278.1
Source: RNAcentral
GCUUUAUAUUGUUGAUUCUAGUAGGACUAAGGAUUUAAUCUAGUGGGUAUUUUCUUUUUAGUCUGCGGAUCUGGUCCGUCGUGUCCAGUAGUUGGGUGACUAGUGGGUUGUGGUGGUUGUUGACUCUUGUGUUAUAUCUGCUUCUGGACUUGUGUAUUUCAUCUUUGACUGUAGGUAUCUUGAGGUCUCGGUGAAUUGUUUCGUUGGUAACAUACCAGGGUGCAUUUAAUAGGGAUCUUAGCGUUUUCGAUUGGAAGCGUUGGAGUAUUUCAAUGUUGGAGUUACUUGCUGUUCCCCAUAAAUAGUAGGUGUCCGAGGACACUACCUUGCGGUAUGCCGGAUUCUAUUGGGAAUGUUGCGGAAGUGGCGCCUAGACAUUUAACUAUGAAUUGUCUGUUGGUUAGGUAGGAUUUUAAGAUGGAGUAGUAUGGGUGGGAUAGGAUUUUUUUAAGCUUGUAGAGUAGCCCUUCAUGCCAUACUUUAUCGAAUGCCUGUUGGAUAUCUAGGAAUACAGCUGAGCAGUAUUUUUUCUUUUCAAGGGUUUGGCUGAUCAUGUGGGUUAUGCGGUGGAUUUGCUCUCGUAUUGAGUGUUGUUUUCGGAAGCCGAAUUGGUGAUCUGGGAGAGUUUUCAAUUCUUCUAGGAGUGGAAGGAGACGAUUCGUGAGCAGCCUCUCGAAUAGUUUAGACAGGGUAGGUAAGAGACU